CAGGGAAGGGGCACUUGAGAAUCACUGGAGACUUCCUGGAGGUGGCAAUCACUGACUUGAAUCUUGAACCAUGUGUAAGAGUUGGGCAGGUGAAGAAUGACACCGGACUCUUUCCUGCUUUGGCAUAUGCCCUGAGUGCUUGGAAAUCCCUAAAUGGACCAGAGCAAGGACACUCCGUAGCGGCUGAACACGAAGACGGCACUCCACUGGGAUGACCUUUGAUUCUUGGCAGAGGAUAGCGAUUUCACUGAGGGAAUUCACUCCGGUUGAUGAGUCUCCAGUGUUUGUCGAGAUCUCUGUGGAAACAAACAUUCAGAGGGUCUUUGUGGAAGAGUCCAGAAAUAAUUGAGUAAGCCAGGAGACCCUUAUUCCACCCCCUGCAAAAAAUGUCAGGUUACACUUUCUUUUAAGGGCUCCUUAAUUGAUGGCCUUGUACAAAUAAUUACCAUUUCCCAGCACUUUCCCUUUUGCCGAGAAAAAUACAAAAGGAAAGUCAACCGAAUCAAGACAUAAAUUCAUUUUUACAGCUGAAUAAGCUUUGUCUUUGGUUGUUUUAAAAAUGAAAUAAAUGGGAAAAUAUUUGUUAGAGAAUAAUAAACACGCCCAGGUAUUUGCUGCUCUUCUCGGGCCAGGCUGGGAUUGAAGUGGCUCGGUAAGACCACCUGUGUUUCUUGGUGCAAACCCAACAGAGCUUCAGAAUUUGUAUAGUUGGUCUCAGUCCAGCGACCUGGCUACAUUCUUGGAUCUCUUACUCAACAUGAGGCAUCAAGAUCACUGGAAACUUUAACAAAAACAUCAACAACUGGAAGAGCCAGUUAGCCUAUGGUCUGACCCCCAGCCUGCACACCCUUACAUCAAUCUACUUCUAAUCUUCUGGGAAAUUAGUUCAGUGUUCAAGGCAGGAGAAGGGGCAACCUGAGGGUCCAGAUGCUCAGUCUCCCUUAGGAGAUGAAGAAUCUACAAUCACCCCAAAGCGUACAUUUAGAGGGUUGCGUUUCAGUCUGCUUUCCACUUGGCCAAAUAGAUGCCUUCAUAAUAACUCUAAAAGCAUCGAAGAAAAAGCAGCACACUCUGUAGGAUUCCACAAUGGAAUCCAAUAAAAGAAACAUAACUCAAAAUCGUUUCAGAAGCAAUUAAUAAGUUGCUACUCAGAAGCAGCUCCUCAAGGAAAUUUGCUCUUCAGCCCAAUCUAAAACACAUCCUGAAAACAGUAGCUGAGGAGGAAGGAAGACGAGAACGAAUCUUAUUUUCUACUUGUCAUUUUGGUACACUUCACAAUAUUUGGAUACUUUCUGAAUCAGCUAUUGUAGACGUUUUUAUCCAAGUUCCCAAAGGUCUACUUAGUUUAACUACCUUUAACUAAAGAUGACAAAAUGGCCACGUGACCUUUAACAGUAGCACUGUUGAGCCAGCCAGCUUUGGUCUUAGCACCAUCUUCCAGAACCCAGUUAUGUGACUGUGGGCAGGUAAAUUGAACCCUUUUAGCUCAAAGUUUUCACAUAAAAAUGAAAAGAUAGGAUAAGAUUCUGGUUUCCCACAGUGUGUCUCAUGAAGAAACAUGAGAUUUACAUGGAGGAAGAUUUUUACUUUUAUUUAGAAAUACUGUAUUUUGGGGCGCCUGGGUGGCUCAGUCGGUUAAGCGGCCGACUUCGGCUCAGGUCAUUAUCUCACGGUUCGUGGGUUCGAGCCCCACGUCGGGCUCUGUGCUGACAGCUCGGAGCCCAGAGCCCACUUCGGAUUCUGUGUCUCCCUCUCUCCUGCUCCUCCCCCACUCACGCUCUGUGUCUCUCUCUCAAGAAUAAACACUAAACAAAAAAUUUUUUAAAAAGAAAUACUAUAUUUUAAAAAUCAAAUGGAGUUUUACAACAAGAUUUCUCAUAUCUUUUAAUAUACUAAUUACUAUCAUAAGUGGAGGGGCUGCGCCAUGUAAUAAUAUGUAAGCUUAUUUGACCAUGGGACUCUUGUUCAUAGACUAUCAUGGGACUAGUGUAAUCUAAGGUUGCUUCCAGCUCUAAAAUUCCAUUUUUCCAUCUGAAGUAGCUAAUUGCAAAUUGGCAUGUAUACAAAGGUCGUCACAGAAAUUAUUAAUCAUCGCUGAAUGAUGUACUUCACAGGUGGAUGUGUGGGAACACAGAACAGAGCAGACAUAUUUAAAAUCCUACCUCAGCAGGAGGGUUUUCCUGUUCUCCACCUAUUCUCCUCACCCUUGGGGGGGUGCUGAUCUUCUGUGCAUACAUGCCAUGGUCAGAAAGAGAAGGUCCCAGAUUCAUCAUAGUGUGAACUGGUAUUACUCAUUACUGCUAUUAGUCAUUGUACCCUGUUAUCCCCCUGGCCUUUCCUAUGUGCAAUAUAAAGUCUAAGUAAUCGACAAGGUCUGUUUCUCUAUUUAGCCUUGUAUCCACCACACAUACUUCAUGUCUUUUCCAGAAAAAUAAGAGGAAUUGUAUUUUAAAAUAUUUUAAAGCAAUAACCUCAGUUAUAGCCUUAUACUUUAACUGGAAUACUUUUCUCAAUUUAAUAUUCAUGUAUGACUGACCUGUGCUCAAUAUGGAAUUUCAUAAGUUCCUUUCUCGUUAUUGUGAUUAAAACUUAGCAUCAAAGGUUAGGAAAGCAAAAAUUAUAGUAAAUGUGAAGUGACUGAAUUGUCUUUGUAGCUUCUUUCUAGUUUUUAAAAAUAUUGAUUGAUUGAUUGAUUUUGAGAGAGAGAGAGCACGCGAGAGGGCACACGAGAGAGCAC
Acinonyx jubatus (cheetah) is the source of this 2737-nucleotide long non-coding RNA. RefSeq lists it as uncharacterized. The record is from RefSeq and is a predicted model, not a curated record. Lineage: Eukaryota; Metazoa; Chordata; Mammalia; Carnivora; Felidae. The transcript is spliced from 3 exons.